RNAcentral lists this unclassified non-coding RNA (544 nucleotides) under Hevea brasiliensis (rubber tree). The record is from RNAcentral. Lineage: Eukaryota; Viridiplantae; Streptophyta; Magnoliopsida; Malpighiales; Euphorbiaceae.
AGAAAACAAAGUAAAAUUGGUUCAAAAUGCAAAGCUUGAGAUCAUCUAUUCUGAAGUAUGUACAGGUUAAGGUCCCAAAACAAGUAUUAUCAUCUCAAGUUGAAGGCCGGAGUGCGUUAAAUAUUCUCAAUUUGCAAAUACGCACCUGUAGCAAUUCUGGUUCCACCGAUCAGGAUCAGAUAAAGGAACAAGUGCUUAACCUGGUGAAGAAAUUUGACAAGAUUGAUGCAACCAAGGUCACUGAGAGUGCUGAUUUCCAGAAGGACUUGAGCCUAGACAGCUUAGAUAGAGUGGAACUUGUCAUGGCUUUUGAACAAGAAUUCUCGAUUGAGAUACCUGACGAAGAGGCAGACAAGCUUAAAUGUUGUGCCGAUGUUGCUCAGUAUAUCAUUUCUGGAGCUGAGAAGAAAGCUCAGGAGAGCUCCUAGAGUAACUUAUUAGUUAUCUCAAGGAGAGGAUGUCACGUCAUCAGAAUAGACAAAGGUUUUUUUGGAACAUUCUCCUAGAUAGUGUUUCUUUUGUCUGAUAAGCUGUUGAAUCCCAG